Molecule: transfer RNA, 77 nt
Filed under: Cryobacterium psychrophilum
Lineage: Bacteria; Bacillati; Actinomycetota; Actinomycetes; Micrococcales; Microbacteriaceae
Also listed under: 1 other name
Description: tRNA-Leu
Rfam family: tRNA
About the family: Transfer RNA (tRNA) molecules are approximately 80 nucleotides in length.
Source: RNAcentral
GCCCCCGUAGCCCAAUCGGCAGAGGCAAACGACUUAAAAUCGUUCAAGUCUGGGUUCAAAUCCCAGUGGGGGCACCA